GAUGAACGCUGGCGGCGUGCCUAAUACAUGCAAGUCGAGCGAACGGACGAGAAGCUUGCUUCUCUGAUGUUAGCGGCGGACGGGUGAGUAACACGUGGAUAACCUACCUAUAAGACUGGGAUAACUUCGGGAAACCGUAGCUAAUGCCGGAUAAUAUUUUGAACCGCAUGGUUCAAAAGUGAAAGACGGUCUUGCUGUCACUUAUAGAUGGAUCCGCGCUGCAUUAGCUAGUUGGUAAGGUAACGGCUUACCAAGGCAACGAUGCAUAGCCGACCUGAGAGGGUGAUCGGCCACACUGGAACUGAGACACGGUCCAGACUCCUACGGGAGGCAGCAGUAGGGAAUCUUCCGCAAUGGGCGAAAGCCUGACGGGGCAACGGCGCGUGAGUGAUGGAGGUCUUCGGAUCGGAAAACUCUGUUAUUAGGGAAAAACAUAUGUGUAAGUAACUGUGCACAUCUUGACGGUACCUAAUCAGAAAGCCACGGCUAACUACGUG
RNAcentral lists this ribosomal RNA (497 nucleotides) under uncultured bacterium. RNAcentral's name for it is "partial 16S ribosomal RNA". It matches the Rfam family "Bacterial small subunit ribosomal RNA", at positions 28 to 507 of the family's 1533-position model. The record is from RNAcentral.